Thalassophryne amazonica is the source of this 184-nucleotide long non-coding RNA. RefSeq lists it as uncharacterized. The record is from RefSeq and is a predicted model, not a curated record. NCBI's taxonomy places the organism in Eukaryota, Metazoa, Chordata, Actinopteri, Batrachoidiformes, Batrachoididae. The transcript is spliced from 3 exons.
GUAUUUUGGGUCAAGGAUGAACACUGUGAAAACUGAAAGUGAUAGGACAAACAUUUUUUGAGAAAUUAGCAAUUAUAGCUAACCAGUAAACAAUGAACAUUAUGCUGCAAUGCCCCAUGGGAGGUCAGGGUUUUGGGGUUUUAAAUGUUGUUAUUGUGGUUCAUGUUAGUUUUACAGUGCUGUU